AUUCAGGGGUAGUUGGUAGUUACAGGAACGUUAGAUUGAUGCUAAUGCAGGAGAAAAAUGGGGUGUACUCACGUUUGUGAGAUACUGUAUAUACACUCACCUAAAGGAUUAUUAGGAACACCAUACUAAUACUGUGUUUGACCCCCUUUCGCCUUCAGAACUGCCUUAAUUCUACGUGGCAUUGAUUCAACAAGGUGCUGAAAGCAUUCUUUAGAAAUGUUGGCCCAUAUUGAUAGGAUAGCAUCUUGCAGUUGAUGGAGAUUUGUGGGAUGCACAUCCAGGGCACGAAGCUCCCGUUCCACCACAUCCCAAAGAUGCUCUAUUGGGUUGAGAUCUGGUGACUGUGGGGGCCAUUUCAGUACAGUGUACUCAUUGUCAUGUUCAAGAAACCAAUUUGAAAUGAUUCGAGCUUUGUGACAUGGUGCAUUAUCCUGCUGGAAGUAGCCAUCAGAGGAUGGGUACAUGGUGGUCAUAAAGGGAUGGACAUGGUCAGAAACAAUGCUCAGGUAGGCCGUGGCAUUUAAACAAUGCCCAAUUGGCACUAAGGGGCCUAAAGUGUGCCAAGAAAACAUCCCCCACACCAUUACACCACCACCACCAGCCUGCACAGGCAUGAUGGAUCCAUGUUCUCAUUCUGUUUACGCCAAAUUCUGACUAUACCAUCUGAAUGUCUCAACAGAAAUCGAGACUCAUCAGACCAGGCAUCAUUCUUCCAGUCUUCAACGAUACAAUUUUGCAGGACAAUGCUCCAUGCCACACAGCCAGGUCAAUCAAGGUGUGGAUGGAGGACUACCAGAUCAAGACCUCGUCAUGGCCAGCCCAAUCUCCAGACCACAAGCCAUCAAACAAAGCUGAGCUACUUGACUUUUUGUGCCAGGAGUGGCAUAAAGUCAACCAACAAUGUGACAGUCUGGAGGAGAGCAUGCCAAGAUGCAUGAAAGCUGUGAUAAAAAUCAGGGUUAUUCAUCCAGAUACUGAUUUCUGAACUCUUCCUAAAUUAAAACAUUAGU
This is a long non-coding RNA of Esox lucius (northern pike), 1010 nucleotides long. Lineage: Eukaryota; Metazoa; Chordata; Actinopteri; Esociformes; Esocidae. The record is from Ensembl.